Mycena vulgaris is the source of this 95-nucleotide non-coding RNA. The record is from the annotation of a GenBank genome assembly. NCBI's taxonomy places the organism in Eukaryota, Fungi, Basidiomycota, Agaricomycetes, Agaricales, Mycenaceae.
GGCUCGGUGGUGGACGGUCCACGCCUACAUACCGUGUGAUGCUACAUCCGUUCUUUAUCAUGCAGGAGGAGCCCGUUCGACUCGGGCCCGAGCCA